Molecule: non-coding RNA, 21 nt
Organism: Caenorhabditis elegans
Lineage: Eukaryota; Metazoa; Nematoda; Chromadorea; Rhabditida; Rhabditidae
Source: Ensembl
UUGAAGAAUUUAUUUCGGGAA